UUGUGAAGCAGAAUUCACCAA
RNAcentral lists this non-coding RNA (21 nucleotides) under Arabidopsis thaliana (thale cress). The record is from RNAcentral. RNAcentral also lists the same sequence under 1 other name. Lineage: Eukaryota; Viridiplantae; Streptophyta; Magnoliopsida; Brassicales; Brassicaceae.